RNAcentral lists this ribosomal RNA (795 nucleotides) under uncultured archaeon. RNAcentral's name for it is "bacterial SSU rRNA". It matches the Rfam family "Archaeal small subunit ribosomal RNA", at positions 85 to 879 of the family's 1478-position model. The record is from RNAcentral.
ACUGCUCAGUAACACGUGGACAACCUACCCUGAGGUCGGGGAUAAACCCGGGAAACUGGGUAUAAUACCCGAUAGAUCUAGAUCGCUGGAAUGCUUUUAGGUCUAAAGUUCCGACGCCUCAGGAUGGGUCUGCGGCCUAUCAGGGUAGUAGUGGGUGUAAAGUACCUACUAGCCUACGACGGGUACGGGUUGUGAGAGCAAGAGCCCGGAGAUGGAUUCUGAGACACGAAUCCAGGCCCUACGGGGUGCAGCAGGCGCGAAACCUUUACAAUGCUGGCAACAGCGAUAAGGGGACCUCGAGUGCUACGAUACAAUCGUGGCUGUCUAGUUGCCUAAAAAGCAAUUGAUAGCAAGGGCCGGGCAAGACCGGUGCCAGCCGCCGCGGUAACACCGGCGGCUCGAGUGGUAACCGCUAUUAUUGGGUCUAAAGGGUCUGUAGCCGGCUUAGUUAGUCUCUUGAGAAAUCUGGCCGCUCAACGGUCAGGCGUUCAGGGGAUACUGCUAAAGCUCGAGACCGAGAGAGGUGAGAGGUACUUCAGGGGUAGGGGUGAAAUCUUGUAAUCCUUGAAGGACCACCAGUGGCGAAGGCGUCUCACCAGAACGGAUCUGACGGCAAGGGACGAAAGCUAGGGGCACGAACCGGAUUAGAUACCCGGGUAGUCCUAGCCGUAAACGAUACUCGCUAGGUGUCGGCCACGGUGCGACCGUGGUCGGUGCCGUAGGGAAGCCGUGAAGCGAGCCACCUGGGAAGUACGGCCGCAAGGCUGAAACUUAAAGGAAUUGGCGGGGGAGCAC